CUGCUUUUGUGCUUUAGCUUAUGUGCUUCAAACAAGCUUUCAAUUGUUUUGUCCUUCCUUUAGCUUUUGUAGCUUUUAUGUUUCUUCAAGUCGGAAUUCGAAAAAAGCUUGGACCAAUCUCGACGAAGAAGAAGAGACUCUGAGCAAAUGUCUCACCUUUUGCAUCAACUAUAGUCUCACUCUUAUGGAUCUCGUCUCAAGCUGGGAAAUUUAUUACCUUAACAGAGCAGGUAAAUAGCCAUUAAAGCCUGGAGUUAUAGUUUAUGUCACCAAAAGUGCAUUGUAAAUCAAUUCGGUGAACACCGAUUUUCACCACCAGAAACCAAACACAUAACUUGCAGCAACUUUUGAUUUCCUCCUUGGCGAUGCUAGCAACUUUUAUGCAAUAAGUUUCUUAGCUAAAAGUAAGGGAGUACCAAUGGUGACACUUUUUGAGAAGGUUCCUGACGGAAGUACUCUCCGAAUCUAUUUGCUUCCGGAGUUUCAGUUUGUCUAAGUCUUCUUUGUUUGAACAACACUUUGCAAUGUCUUCUCAACAGCAUGAUCUUUCAACUUUAAAGUUGGCUUAUGGGUUACAUCAUAAGAAAGAAGAAUAUAUUUAUUUGGCUUAUGGCUUAUGGAACAACACUUAUGAGUUUCAGUUUUAGAUUAUUUAUAAGUGUGGUGGAAUUUGCUUUCAAUGAAAGAAAUUAGCUUCUUCCUGUAAAAAUUAGUUUCUAUUUGAUGACAGACUAACAUGUAAAAUAAUUAUUUACCUUUAAAAGUUAAUUAUGAGAA
This is a long non-coding RNA of Vicia villosa (hairy vetch), 777 nucleotides long. RefSeq lists it as uncharacterized. The record is from RefSeq and is a predicted model, not a curated record. NCBI's taxonomy places the organism in Eukaryota, Viridiplantae, Streptophyta, Magnoliopsida, Fabales, Fabaceae. The transcript is spliced from 3 exons.